This 735-nucleotide unclassified non-coding RNA is filed under the name Hevea brasiliensis (rubber tree). Lineage: Eukaryota; Viridiplantae; Streptophyta; Magnoliopsida; Malpighiales; Euphorbiaceae. The record is from RNAcentral.
GCGACGUUGCAAUGGCAAUGGCUGCAAAAGCAAAGCUUAUUCUUCGGGAGCUGAAGACUGUGAAAGCUGACCUGGCUUUUGCUAAGGAACGUUGUGCACAGCUGGAAGAAGAAAACAGAAUUCUUCGAGAGAGUAGUGAAAAGGGCGGAAGUCCUGAAGAUGAUGAUUUGAUAAGGCUCCAGCUCGAGACACUUUUGGCAGAAAAGGCUAGGUUGGGUCAAGAGAACUCAGUCCUAACACGGGAGAACCGAUUCUUGAGGGAGAUUGUUGAAUACCACCAGCUCACUAUGCAGGAUGUUGUCUACCUCAAUGAAAAUAGUGAAGAGGUGACUGAAGUGUACCCCAUAAAGGUUGUAAGUUCACAAGUGACCAAGGAUAACUCAUCUCCUGUGUCAUCCUUAGAGACGAAGUAUGUUUCGUGUGAUAUCACCUCUCUGAGCUCUUUCAUCCAAACUCCUGCUGAAGAUGAAUUAGGAAGACACUGAUUUCCAGUUGCUGGAUGUAUUGCUUUGAUCUUCUCCAACCGAAAGUGUGAAUGGGUGUUCAGUGUGAAUUCUUUUGGUUGAGCCUGGUCAUCCUGAAACUUAAUAUGUAUUGAACUUUCUUUUAGCUUUUUUUUUGGUUUAUUUUCUUGGUAGGAUAGUCAAAUGCACUGGGGUUGGGGAGAACAACAUGAAUUGUGGCUUGUUUAGUUAUGCUGUAAGCUAGCUGGUUCUCACUGCAAUGAUGUGGAGG